GGCGACUUCGACAAGCUGGGCCUCCAUCACCACGUCGACUUCGACAAGCUGAGCCUCCACGGUGAAUUUAACAAGCUGGGCCUCCAUCACCACGGCGACUUUGACAAGCUGGGCCUCCAUCACCAUGGCGACUUUGACAAGCUGGGCCUCCAUCACCAUGGCGACUUCGACAAGCUGGGCCUCGACUUUGACAAGCUGGAGCAUCAUCUUCAUGAGGCUGAAGUUGCUUUCGAGAUUGCAGAGAUGGACAUACAUCUCGCUCACACUGAGCUGGAGGAUCACAAUGACUGCUGAAUCAACAAGGUCAGCCAGCACAAUACCCACUUCCAUUUGUGCCCAUUGAACGUAUUGUGACAGACUGACAGCACACCGAACUGAUAAUUGUUAUGUGCAAAUUUCUGACAUCAUAUUUGGCUUGUACAUUCCAGGGCCUACAGUCCAGGACUUCUUCAUUCAUGAGACUACUGCAGGUGGUGGUUGGGUGGCGUCUUCAAACUGAUGCCCUUUUUCUGCUCUUUCGCACUGGUGUUCAUGGAACCUGUUUUUGGUAUUCCAAAGACGGGUUGAGACAGGGAUUAGAUGAUCUGAUAAUAGCACUGUCCGGUUUUACUUUUGUCACCAUGAUUCUCCUCGAUGUAAAGUGACUACGUGUGCAGGCUGUUGUUUUGUGGAAGUUUUCGUGUUCUUCCUGUGACAACUGUGUGAUAUCUAGCCGAUUUGUUACAUUUCAAGUUCAGUGUCUGGGGAAAUUUGCAUAGGUAGGCAAUCUUAAAAUCAUGUAUUGUGACAUCAUAGUUGUGUUGAUUUGGUACAAAUGGCAGUUCAACUCUGUAGUUCAUGCAUUGUAAGAGUGAUGACAGAAAUGGCAUUUGGUUUGGAAGCUGAAUGAUGACAAUGUAGAAACAAUGGAAUAUAGAGCAGAAGAGGUCGCACCAUUAAGAUUAUUUUAUACUGUAUAGCUCUGGG
RNAcentral lists this long non-coding RNA (966 nucleotides) under Triticum aestivum (bread wheat). Its description in RNAcentral is "long non-coding RNA (TAES_LNC013719)". Lineage: Eukaryota; Viridiplantae; Streptophyta; Magnoliopsida; Poales; Poaceae. The record is from RNAcentral.